GUCUGCUUCACUUCCCAUUUGGAGGGAAAUGCGGAAUGAUCAAACUCAAACGUGGUAAUGUUCGUAGGACACGAUAUUAGCUUUAAACUUGGACGGCAUUUUCUCUCUGCAUAUGGCUAUGUGUGUGGUUCGUACCACGUGUUACGGAAGCCAACUUUUAGUUUUCCCCACAAUCGCGACCUCUUCAAAGAAGAAAAAUUUUGGUCCCAAAUCCUUUGAGUCUAUACUGGUGUGAUGAGGCUCAUUAUACAGCUAAUCAAAGUUGCCAAAAGCAGGAUGAACCCGCUUCUUAGCCUGAUUUGGAUUGCCAUGAGCAUCCUAUCUCAGAGAUGGGAGGACGAAAAGUCGUUAUAUGCCCGCGAAUACUUUAUACGACCGCCGUAGAAAGAAGAACGUGUACCGUAAUAUUUCAAGCCUCACUUCCGAGCUUGAAGAGUUAAGCCUCAAGGGCUUCGAAAGUGAAUGCCUCACGAUGGCCAAGCAUUUCAACGGGUAAAACAGGAAAACCCGGCAGUGAAGCUUUAUUCGGAUUAGAGUUGAUCUUGAAGCAGUGGAAAGAAAGUUUCUAGGCAGACUCGCAUCGUCGUCAUCGUCGUCCAACGUAUAAUUCAGAAAGAAAAAACGAAGCUGCUUGGGUGUGUAUGGUACAACUGUAUAUAGAUCUCACCUUACCAGCCUGCCCGACCGCGCAGUGCAUAAAUUACGAAGCUCAGAGUCAAUCCAUCAUGGGACAAAAGGCAUGGGAUCUUCUGUGCCAGUCGCAGAGUCACCCAGGUCUCUCGUAACGUGUCCCGCCCCAAUAAGGUCAAGAAAAUAAAAUAGCUGUUUUUGUCUCUCCUCCUUUCUCUUUCUCAUCCGUUGCAUCUCUGAUGAACGACAAAAGGAGCCAGCAGCAGUUUGAGAAGUAGACGAAAAGCUUUUUGACUCCCGAGGAAAAUAUUUCGCCCCACCUUCCCCUCUGGCACGAGGUAAUGAGCAUGGUAAUCUGUUAGAUGAGGAAAAUAGGGCCUUCAAAACUACCCUGUUCACAGUCAUCAUCAAUCUGGAGAUGAUUGGAUUCGAUGAGACGAGGAUUUCUUUCAACAACGAAAGGCAAAAGCUUCAAUUUUAAUCCGACAAGAGUCGUGAGCUAAAGCUUCCACUGUCAUCAGCUUAAAUCCGACUUUCACUCUGUAGCUCUACGGAUUUAAAGCCCAGAUGUUGGCCGUUACAUAUAGAGCAAGAGAUUCUAUUGGUCUCGUACGGAAGAGAAUAAAUCGACUUAUUGCGUCGUGAAUGGCGCCUCUGAUUGAGUCGCUAUUGCAACCGCUCCUCGUCGUCGACUUACACGAAUAGACGGCCAAUCAUUCUGGCAACCUAGUAUAUUGGAUCACUUUCAAUUCCCUGUAAUCAGCGUGUACAACGAGAAACUCCACAACAUUGAAACUUAUCGCCGACUUUCAUGGCUCUUGCUGCCACGUGAAAAAUUCCUCGGCUCCUUGAUGCAUCGGAAAAAAACGUAGGAAAAACGACCACCCAACUCAACCCGUCGAGUCUGGUGCCCUAAGGUGAUGGACCGCGUGAAUGUGACACCAAGACAUCAAGAAUUUUCGUGAUCUGGCGCGGGGUCAUGUCUAUACCAAAGGAGAAAAAAUUGAUGGAAAUCAUUGGGCGCUCUCUAUUGCGCCGGAAGGGAACGCCACAAUAACAUGACGUCUCUUUUUUUUUGGAGCCCAGGAAAGAAAAAGCUGUCGACUUCUUCUAUUCCGAACAAAAAAAAAAAAAAAUGUUUUAGUUUGUUGUUCUGGAGCGAUUGGAAUCAUCACCAGUGAAAAAGAAAAGCAUCGCAACUGUUCGACAACCAAUAACUUUCGUGGCCGUGUUUGUGGAGACUCGAAACCAGUUCCGGAGCAAUUGUUUUCUACUUUCGUUCGUCCUUCACGAAAGAUUUGAUCCGGGAGAAAGAAACAAAACAAAAUCAACGAAUCAAGUGGGUCGCAUGAUGGCCGGACGCAGCCGCGUGGUCCGCUCCAUCCUCGUUGUCUACCUGUUUCUGCUGUCCACCGGACAUCCGGUGGAAUCGAAAGCUGAACACUCGACGAAAGAGCACUCGAAAAUUCGCCAAUUAAGCGGAAAUCAAUACCAGAGCCAAUACGGUAUCGUUCAGCCAGAAAGUUCUUCCAAUCAUCGAACCAAUUCGACUGUUAGUCGCCAUCUAUUUGCAUGGAGCGAAAUGGCCGUUGAAUCAUCCGACAAGUUGCCGCCCGCCACUUUAGCGUCGUCCAGCAUCUCCGAAACGGCCAGGUCGUCCGUAACUCGUGGCCGGAAGAAAGCCAAUGUUCCACAACGGAGGCAGCUUCAAUUGAGGCAGAAGAAAGCGCAGCAAGUGAAGAGAAAUAGCAAGAAAGUUGGCAGCUCUAACUUGAAACCCGUAAGCUCGUUGAAAAAGAGUUUGGAUGACGAAGAAGAGGAACAAGAAGAAGAAGAGGAAGAGGAAGAAGAAGGCGAUGAAGAAGAGGGUGGAGACGAAGAAGAAGGCGAAGAAGAGGAAGACGAAGAAGGUGGCGAAGAGGAAGGCGAAGAGUCGGACGUUGAAGAAGACAAUGAAGAUCCUGACGCGGAAGAAGACGAUGAAACUAAUCGGCGAAUCAGCAAACCGACAACUACAACUACAACAACAACAACGCCAUUGAUCCCCACUGCGUCAGCUGAAGUUGGACAGGAUUUUAUCGACCAUUCGUCUGAAUCCAACGGUGCCGAUAACCGCCAAGAAGCGGAAGGAAAACCAGCAGCGACAUCUUCCGUUUCUCGUGAGCCCGAAACAAACGACAGAGAAGACACGAGGACUGAGCGGCCGCCGGCCAAUCGGACGGAUGUCGUCGAGAACAAAGCGCUAGACGGGAAUGCAGCCAACGGAAGGGAUGACGUCAAAGUAGACCUAAUAUCCGGAUCUUUAGACGGUGACGUCAGCCCGUCACAUGCUAAUCAGACGCAUGUUGGCAACGCUGAGAAAUCAGAAGAUGAAAGAGCCAAAGGCGAUCAAUCUGGAAAUGGAAACAUCGAACUGUCACCAGCCGAAAAUCAGUCGGCGCCAUCUCCUCGAUUCGAUAAUGAAAUCGAUUGGCGUGAACAUGACGGUCGCAAGGAUGCGGCCAUCGGUCUUUCUAACGUCAUCAACGAAGAGAAAUUACAAGCCGUGCUGCAGCCAUCGAAAAUUGAAUCGGCAUCAUCGGAGGAGGAGGAGGAGGACGAACAUGAAGAAGCCAAUGAAAUCCGAGCUCAAGUCCAGCCCGGAAUCAAACCGUCGUCGUCCGUCUCUUCGAACGCGGUCGACGCUGAUGACGGAUCCAAUGAUAUUAAAGUUGAUUCAUCUGAAAAGGCCGUCAAAGGAGGCCGCGAUGAAUCCUUCCGCGCGGAAGAAGACGAUAGUGAAGAGGACGAAACAAACUUUCUACCGAUGGGCCAUUCUAGUGGCACUAAUAAAAACAAGCCGGCGUCUAACGAACCGCUGGCCGGCCGAGCGAUAACAGACAGCGGAGUAGCCGGUUCGGGUGAUGAAGAAGACGAAACGAACGACAUCCUGCCAGAUCGUUUGGCCUCCAACGUGCCAGACGAUGCGAGCAAAACAUCUGUUUCGUCGGUGAACGAGCUGGACGAAGACGAGGAAGAGGAAGACGCGGUGGAUAACGAAAUUGAGACGAUCGUCCCGUCCGAAUCCUUCAAUCAACCGGACCAUAAUAGGUUCCUUCACGGACAGACCAAUUUCAAUGCAGCCGUAUUAGAUACGUCGUGUGGACCGUUCACUUCGUUGCCCGUCAUUCCAAACGCGGUCGUCGCCAAAUACGGCAGGACCCGAUGGCCUUCGCCGCCCUUCAAUCUGCUGGCCGAGGUGAUUUUCGAAUGUCAAGACACGGACGUCUACCAGCUGGAUCCGACGCUACCCGAUCGCCUUUUCUGUUCCAAUCAGGAGUGGAUCGGACAACACCCGAAAUGUGUCACCAUCAAUCGCCAACAGCAGCCGCACUUUGCAGUGACAGACGGAGCCAGCGGUAAUGAUGAAGAGAAGGAGCUAGUGAUUCCACUUACGUCAUCGAUAUCGUCAAAUGGAGUCAACGUCAGCUCGACCGCUGGCCAACAAAUUAAUGAACGGAGUUGUUCCAACGAGGAUCGUGGAGGCUGCGAGCACGUCUGCUCUCAGUCUGCCGAGCCGGACUCAAUUCGUUGCUUAUGCUACAGAGGCUUCCGGCUGAAUGCGGACGGGAAAAGCUGCGUCGAUAUCGAUGAAUGUGAAACGGGCAACGGUGGGUGUGACGACAAAUGUUCCAAUCUGCCGGGCAGCUUUAUCUGUUCUUGUCCUGUCGGUUUCCGGCUAGCGUCCAACGGCAAGAAAUGCAUCGAUGUUAAUGAAUGCUCGUUGCGCAAUGGUCACGGCCCGUGCCAGGGCGCCUGUCACAACACUCACGGCUCCUACCAUUGCAGCUGCGAGGAUAUGCCAGGAACUCAAUUGGCAGCUGAUGGACAUUUGUGCGAAGAUAUUGACGAGUGCCGGACGGACAAUGGCGGCUGUUCACACUCGUGUCUCAACACGCUCGGCACUGCUUAUUGCGCUUGUCCCGAAGGCUACAUGUUGGCAGAUGACUGGAAAACGUGUGAAGAUAUCGACGAAUGUGAUUACAGUUCAGAUGAUGAUGAUUCGGAUCGAUUAUGUCCUGGCAUUUGCCGCAAUAGUAUCGGAUCCUAUGUGUGCGUCGAUCCGGAUGAAGAAUCAGUUCUUUGUCCACCUGGAUAUGAUGAUGAAGAUGAAGAUGGCCAUUGCCAUGAUAUUGAUGAGUGUUCCUUGUCGAACGGUGGAUGCUCGCAUAUUUGCACCAAUACCGAAGGCGCUCAUCGAUGCGAAUGUCCAUCCGGUCUCUUUAUUGAAGCGGACAACAAAACUUGCAAAGAUAUCGACGAAUGCGCUUCCGAUAACGGUGGAUGCUCCCACACCUGUGUCAACAUGCCCAGCAGUUACAAAUGCACCUGCCCUGAAGGUUACACCUUAGGUGAAGACUGGACAACGUGUCAAGACAUUGACGAAUGCGCUGAAUCUAAUCUGGCAACGUGUGGCAUCGUUGGCACUUGUUUCAACGUAAUAGGCUCUUUUCGAUGCCUCUGCCCGUCCGGUUACAAGGAAAACGACAUGGGCUGUGACGAUAUCGAUGAAUGUUUGAUGGAUCCUUGCGGAUCGGGCAAGUGCAUCAACAAAAUGGGGUCAUAUACCUGCGCGUGUCACGAAGGUUUUCGAUUUGAUAACCAGACAUGCCAAGAUAUCGAUGAAUGUAAAGAGAAUGUUCCGUGUCUCGAUGGCAUUUGCGAAAACACGGUCGGAUCCUUCACUUGCUCUUGCAAGUCCGGUUAUUACCUGGAAAACAAUACUUGCUUUGAUGUCGACGAAUGCACCAAUUCACCUUGUAUUGAUGGCACCUGCAUCAAUCAACCUGGCUCUUAUUUGUGCCUGUGCGAGCCAGGAUUUACGUUGGAACGGAACGUUUGCAUCGAUUUUGAUGAGUGUCUCAUUUCGCCCUGCAUUAACGCCACUUGCGUCAAUCAGAUCGGCAGUUACCGGUGCGAAUGUCCGGACGGCUACCUCUCUCGCAACAACUCCUGUUUUGACGUGGACGAGUGCCAAUCCAAUCCUUGUGUUAAUGGCCAAUGCAUCAACACGGACGGAAGCUACUGGUGCCGCUGUCUGGAUGGUUUCAAAGCUCUUGGAAAUAUUUGUUUAGAUAUCGACGAAUGCGAAACCGCACCGUGUGUCAAUGGCGAAUGUAUCAACACACAGGGAUCCUAUCAGUGCGAAUGUCAUCCCGGAUUUUAUCUUGAGGAUGAUUCUUGUUUUGAUGUCGACGAGUGUCAAGCCAAUCCAUGCGCCAACGGCACUUGCGUUAACCUGCUGGGCUCUUACCAGUGCAAUUGUCCACCUGGACACAUUUUGGUGGAUUCCCGGGUUUGUUUAGAUGUCAACGAGUGUGCCACAAAUAACGGGCAAUGCGAUCAGAAAUGUAUCAACACCCCCGGCUCCUAUUAUUGCGCGUGCGAUAAGGGCUUCUAUCUAGAUCCUGAGGAUAAACAACAGUGUCUGGAUGUGGACGAAUGCGACGUCAACAACGGCGGAUGCAGCCAAGUGUGCCUGAAUCGACCGGGCAAUUUCAGCUGCGAGUGCCGUACUGGAUACAUUCUUUCGAACGAUAAAUCCAGCUGCCUGGAAAUCGUGUCGGCCGUCACGCAUUAUUGUCCAGUCAUCGAGCCACCACCUGGCGGAUACCUGCACUGCUCGAGUCGGCCUGGUAUUGAAGGUUACAAACCGGGAAGCACGUGCACUUUGCGCUGUCGCAAAGGCUACGCUUUCCGUCGACACAAACCCCAAUUGACGUGGCAGGCCAACCAGGUGCUCAACAAACCUGCCCUUCUCCUCGAGGAAAAGAGCAACAUGCUGUCCGGUCGGCAAUCGAACGCCGGAUUGGCCAUGCUCCAAGGCUGGAAAGCCACGCAGGUCCGUUCUGGAACGACUAAAGAAGACUGGCAAUCCGCCAAUCGCACUAAUCCGGAAGAUGCCCAGAAAAAAUUGAAAAGAAAGAACCACGGCAAGAAAAAAGAAAACGAUAAACGGCAGGUAGUUGUUAAUGCUCCAGUUCAGGCUGGCCUUCAGAGGAGAGGUCGACAACGGACAGAUCAAGGUGAGAGAGUUAAACGCCAACUGCACGGUCGUCGUGAAUUCCCCGAUCAGCCGUUCCGGCGCUGUGGAGACGAUGGCAAAUGGAAGGGCAAGUUAGGAUUCUGUCAAGCUCUCACAUGCCCGCCACUAACUAAACCAGCCAACGGAAGCGUCAGUCCGCUUUCAUGCGCAACUGGCGACGCCGCACCCAAUCAGCUCUGCUACUUCACAUGCGAAACGGGCUUCCGCGUCACGGGUAAUCCCGUCCGCACUUGCUUGCCCAGCCUGAAAUGGAAUCCUCUCAGACCGCCGCCUGCCUGUGAAAAAGCUUCUGCCAAGGGUAACAAACAAGCCAAAAAACCGCGGCUCAAUGCGAUCGACGUAACAGUCCCCAACAAGACGAAGACGGCAGGUGCUGCCAUCUAUGAGACGCCGACUGAACUUGACUGGUCCCCAAAACCAAAACACAAACAACCCAAUCCUUCAACUACCCAACGUACAAAAGAAUCGCCUAGUCAACCGAAAUUCGAAUUCGAAGUUGAUUACAAACAGCCAACUCCACUCAUUGGUGUACCCCGUGUUGAACUUUUCCCGUCCAAAGUUGUCGAUCGCAACUAUUUUCAAUUAGCUUCAGUCCAUCCGUGGCCGCGUAUCGAGUGCCCCAAGGAUAUGACCAUUGAUCUUCCACCGGGCAAGAGGAGCACCGAGGUCUUAAUCCCUCAACCGGCCACCAAUGUCGAUUACGUCAGCCACGUCGAAGCUGAGCCCAGUUGGGCAAAGAAGUUGCGCGCAGAAUUGGGGCCUAUUCGCAUGGUGAUAUCGUUCAGAGCCAGAAAUCCGGCGACGGAAUACACGGCUAUCUGCUCGUUUGUCCUAGAAGUUCGAGGUACAUCACAUACUUCGUGUCAUGCAUUUGUCCCGGCGGACAGUGCUCCUGUCAUUAGGAAAACACACACAGGGAAGCACCCACGGUGAAGAAUUGCCCGCACGACAUCCACGUCCGCCUCAGCUCGUUGGAACCGUACGCCAACGCUCCGUGGACCGACCCCGUUUUCAACGACAACAUUGCCGUCACGCACGUCAUCAAAUCCAAAGAACCCAAUUCGCUGUUUGCUUUGGGGGAACACGUCGUUUCUUACACUGCGUCGGACGCAGCUGGCAAUACCGCUCGUUGCCAAUUCACCGUCCAUGUUUCAC
Molecule: unclassified non-coding RNA, 7870 nt
Filed under: Daphnia magna
Lineage: Eukaryota; Metazoa; Arthropoda; Branchiopoda; Diplostraca; Daphniidae
Description: uncharacterized LOC116925185, transcript variant X1
Source: RNAcentral